RNAcentral lists this ribosomal RNA (253 nucleotides) under uncultured bacterium. Its description in RNAcentral is "partial 16S ribosomal RNA". It matches the Rfam family "Bacterial small subunit ribosomal RNA", at positions 524 to 776 of the family's 1533-position model. The record is from RNAcentral.
UACAGAGGGUGCGAGCGUUACUCGGAAUUACUGGGCGUAAAGCGUGCGUAGACGGUCAUGUAAGUCGGGUGUGAAAGCCCCGGGCUCAACCUGGGAAUUGCAUUCGAGACUGCAUGGCUAGGAUGCGGAAGAGGGAAGCGGAAUUUCCGGUGUAGCGGUGAAAUGCGUAGAUAUCGGAAGGAACACCAGUGGCGAAAGCGGCUUCCUGGUCCAGCAUCGACGUUCAGGCACGAAAGCGUGGGGAGCAAACAGG